Falco peregrinus (peregrine falcon) is the source of this 927-nucleotide long non-coding RNA. RefSeq lists it as uncharacterized. Lineage: Eukaryota; Metazoa; Chordata; Aves; Falconiformes; Falconidae. The record is from RefSeq and is a predicted model, not a curated record. The transcript has 2 exons.
AGAAAAAUUAGGAAAGAGUAUCUCAUUAACUUAACAAAACUAUUUGCUCUCUCAAGAAAGUCCUGCCAAAUAUCUUACACAUCUAGCUCAGUUACAAGUAUCAGUAAGCCACUAAUUUUCUUUAAAUAGUGUGUCUGAGAAAGAGUCACAAAGGAACUCUACAAGCAUUCAUGAGACAGACUGAAAAAGUGGCACUGCUAUAAUCAUAACUUGAGAAGACUGGGUUGUCGUGGCUGUUUUGUGCAGACUACAGACCUACCAGCCUCUAGCAUAAAUAAGCUGAAAUUAUGCAAGCUUCAGUUACACUACACAUUUCUACUAAAGAAACCAUCCACACUGCCCAAAAUCUCAAAAACUGAGAUUCGCUUGAAAUAAGCGGUGUGUCCCAAUGCAUAAGGAAAAGGCUCAAAUCCUUCUCUGCUGCACACUGACACCCGUCCAGCUUUUACCUGAAGCACCUGCAGCCCUAUGACAGCCUACCACUUAAUAUACAUCUUAUAUAAAAAAUACUUGUGUGCUCUGUCAGACCUAACAGGCUACUUUAGUCAGACAAUUUAUUUAUUCCAGUGUUCAAACUGAGAGCUACUGACCUUUCUUAUGAUGAGACAUGCAUCUCCAGUGACUAACACAGGAUGAAACCCUCAUUUUUCUGAAGCAAGCAAUACUUGCCAGCUCUCAAUCCUGUACCCCAGAAAACCAUUGGAAGCUUAAAAGAAUGGCUUCAAGAAGCACUAUGGAGUACUUUCAAGACUGAAAAGAGAAGAUGCUGACCAAGCCAAGAAACAGCACAAUGACAGAAAAUAAGUAAGAACUAUUCCAGCAGAACGUAUGGGAGCACACUUGAGAAAAGCAUUCUGUGGAAGAUGCAAUUAGUAAUGACGGUGAAAUUCUGUCCCUAUAAUACACAGACUUCACCCUCGUUUUUAA